UUCUCUUAUUAAGUCCAUCAUGAGAAGUCUGGCCAACGAAUCCCAAGAAAAUCUGCAUCUUCUACUGCAAGUGCUAAACACCGCUUUUGAAUUAGGCUCAGCCAACUGGGCAAAUGAGAGUUCGGGCAUGAUACUGGACCACCUGUUAACUAAGGUGUGUGCUCUGGAAAACAUGGCUUCUGUGCAGCUGAUCACCCAGGUUCUACCUCUGGGUCCCAGAGUGCUAUGCGACACUGUUGUUCCCGCAGUUCAGGCCUUCCAUGUGCUCACAACCAACCUGGUGAACCGAACCACCGAC
This 298-nucleotide long non-coding RNA is filed under the name Sinocyclocheilus anshuiensis. RNAcentral's name for it is "lncRNA (ENSSANG00000051299.1)". Lineage: Eukaryota; Metazoa; Chordata; Actinopteri; Cypriniformes; Cyprinidae. The record is from RNAcentral.